CCACACGACUCUCGGCAACGGAUAUCUCGGCUCUCGCAUCGAUGAAGAACGUAGCGAAAUGCGAUACCUGGUGUGAAUUGCAGAAUCCCGCGAACCAUCGAGUCUUUGAACGCAAGUUGCGCCCGAGGCCACCCGGCCGAGGGCACGCCUGCCUGGGCNUCACGC
Molecule: ribosomal RNA, 165 nt
Filed under: Melica altissima
Lineage: Eukaryota; Viridiplantae; Streptophyta; Magnoliopsida; Poales; Poaceae
Description: 5.8S ribosomal RNA
Rfam family: 5.8S ribosomal RNA
About the family: 5.8S ribosomal RNA (5.8S rRNA) is a component of the large subunit of the eukaryotic ribosome.
Source: RNAcentral